RNAcentral lists this transfer RNA (80 nucleotides) under Acidobacteriota bacterium. RNAcentral describes it as "Acidobacteria bacterium (activated sludge metagenome) tRNA-Arg". It matches the Rfam family "tRNA". Rfam says of the family: Transfer RNA (tRNA) molecules are approximately 80 nucleotides in length. Their secondary structure includes four short double-helical elements and three loops (D, anti-codon, and T loops). The record is from RNAcentral. Lineage: Bacteria; Pseudomonadati; Acidobacteriota.
CUCCGUGUAGCUCAGAUGGAAUCAAGAGCGUCUGAUUACGAAUCAGAAGGGCGGGAGUUCAAGUCUCUCCACGGAGGCCA